RNAcentral lists this ribosomal RNA (452 nucleotides) under uncultured bacterium. RNAcentral's name for it is "bacterial SSU rRNA". It matches the Rfam family "Bacterial small subunit ribosomal RNA", at positions 29 to 524 of the family's 1533-position model. The record is from RNAcentral.
AGCGAACGCUGGCGGCAGGCUUAACACAUGCAAGUCGAACGGGCGUAGCAAUACGUCAGUGGCAGACGGGUGAGUAACGCGUGGGAACGUACCUUUUGGUUCGGAACAACCCAGGGAAACUUGGGCUAAUACCGGAUAAGCCCUUACGGGGAAAGAUUUAUCGCCGAAAGAUCGGCCCGCGUCUGAUUAGCUAGUUGGUGUGGUAACGGCGCACCAAGGCGACGAUCAGUAGCUGGUCUGAGAGGAUGAUCAGCCACAUUGGGACUGAGACACGGCCCAAACUCCUACGGGAGGCAGCAGUGGGGAAUAUUGGACAAUGGGCGCAAGCCUGAUCCAGCCAUGCCGCGUGAGUGAUGAAGGCCCUAGGGUUGUAAAGCUCUUUUGUGCGGGAAGANAAUGACGGUACCGCAAGAAUAAGCCCCGGCUAACUUCGUGCCAGCAGCCGCUGUAAG